This 73-nucleotide transfer RNA is filed under the name Stegodyphus mimosarum. It matches the Rfam family "tRNA". Rfam says of the family: Transfer RNA (tRNA) molecules are approximately 80 nucleotides in length. Their secondary structure includes four short double-helical elements and three loops (D, anti-codon, and T loops). The record is from Rfam by way of RNAcentral. Lineage: Eukaryota; Metazoa; Arthropoda; Arachnida; Araneae; Eresidae.
GCCUUCGUGGUGUAGUGGUCAGCACGCUGGGCGCGUAUUCUAGAGGUCCGUGGUUCGAGUCCCGGUGAAGGCU